AGGAGCGAGGACGCAGCCGACACCGGACACUGAGCGGGCCGCAGCCGGCCGCGCCGACACAGAGCAAGCCUGCCGCGGGACUCCGCACGAAGCACGGCUACCACAUCGACCCACACGCCGUGCGACACCACGAUGGCAGACGCUCCGUCUCCGAGGUGAGGGAGCCACCGCGCAAGGAGAAGUCGGACACGAGGAGUUCUCACGCCAAGGAGGACCCGGCGCUGCGAUACCGCGCAGGCGAGCGGCGAGCAACGCGCGGACAGACGAGCGAGUACUCGCGGCAGUUCCACG
Molecule: long non-coding RNA, 291 nt
Organism: Priapulus caudatus
Lineage: Eukaryota; Metazoa; Priapulida; Priapulimorpha; Priapulimorphida; Priapulidae
Exons: 3
Source: RefSeq, a predicted model, not a curated record